Molecule: long non-coding RNA, 816 nt
Filed under: Linum usitatissimum (flax)
Lineage: Eukaryota; Viridiplantae; Streptophyta; Magnoliopsida; Malpighiales; Linaceae
Description: long non-coding RNA (LUSI_LNC005524)
Source: RNAcentral
AGUUUUUAUAAUAUUAAAUUUUUUAUAUUAUUUUAGAUAAAAAAUAAAAAUUGACUAAAAUUUUACGAUUUGUCAAAUGUAAUCCAAACUAAAAUAAUACCUAAUUCUACUAUUUAACGAAACUUCACUAAUUUUUUCGUCCAACUUAAUGAAAAUUCAAACAACCCAAUAUGAUAAUAUCCGCUGACGUUACAUGUCAAAUGCCACAUCAACAACAUUAUUAAUUAAAUAUUUAAAACUAAAAAAAAAGAGCUUAUCCUACCCUCCCCACCUUCGCCCUCAACUUCUCUGUAUCUUCCGUUUCCAUCCACUACCACCCACCUCCAUCUCCACCUCCCAUUACCAUCAUCCAUCUUCAUCUCCACCUCCCAUCACCACUACCCACCUUCAUCUUCACCUCUCAUCUCCAUCUCCACCUUCAUCUUCACUGGAAAUCGAUUAUGGAAAUCAAUCGAUAGUGGAUCUCUACGUUCGGCCAACGGCCUCAGAUCCAUGGGAUCCAACUACUCUACUCUUGACCUGCAGCGCGCCAUGUACGACGUCGACACCGACAAGGACGGGUGCAUAAACUUGGAGGAGUUCCCGAGCUCUGCUGUUCAUCUUCCGGAGCGUCCGCGACGGCGGAGCUUCACGAGGCGUCUUCAUCUCCUAGAAUCGAUUCAUCUUUCUCCCAGAAUAGAUCUCCCAUCUUCCAUCUUUGAUCCAUCUUCAUCUCCCACAAUCGAUCCAUCUCCAUCUCACAGAAUUGAUCCAUCUUCAUCUCACAGAAUCGAUACAUCUUUGGUCCCGCCGUUGCCGUAUACUUCCCACCGGACU